This is a non-coding RNA of Theobroma cacao (cacao), 899 nucleotides long. The record is from RefSeq and is a predicted model, not a curated record. NCBI's taxonomy places the organism in Eukaryota, Viridiplantae, Streptophyta, Magnoliopsida, Malvales, Malvaceae.
UAAAAAAAAACAGCGUUUAACUGAUGAAAUGCCAACAGACUUGUCUACUAACUAUUACCAAAGGAAAAGAUUCUAUCGAUUUUUUCUUGGUAAGCCAGUGGCUCGAAGCAAAUAAAAGGUGUGCGAAGUUUACUGACCACAGAAUUUCAUCCAUAAAGUAGUUACCUGCGCAAUUUACCGACCAACGUUGUCGAUGGAAGCAUCAAUCAGUGAAGAUAUUAAGAUGCCGACAGAAUUACCGUUGGAUUUUUUGUUGAUAAUGCCUUUGUUCAUGUGAGAUAUGUUAACGAUACAUUUACUGACUAAAUUUUCAUUGGUAGUUUCAGUGUUUACAUAUCGACUGAAUUUUCGUUGGUUAUUUCAUCAGUAUUGUUAUUUUAUAUUACCGAUAAAAAUUUUCAUCGAUAAAUUCGUCUGUAAUUCAAAUAUUAAAUCCUGAUUGGGAUUUCCUCCCACUUUCCCCUUUCUCUUUCACUCUUGUCUCUCACGACCCUUUCUCAUCUGAGCUACCUUUGCCUAGUUGUCCUUGACCGGCUGCCGUCUUGUCCAACUGAAGAGUCCCUAAAGUCAACUACUUCCAACCCACCCCCCAUUGGCGGCCCGUUUUGCUUCUGUCGUUUGGCCAGCCAUCUUUCCUCUCCCAUUCAACCAUCUUUCCUCUCCCGUUCGACCCUCCAUCCCCCGAUAGCCCAAGUAAGGUUGCUAGUGAUGAGUGAUAUGCGACUAAGCUUCAAACAAGGAUUCAUUGCUGUUUUUGGUCCAAAUAUGCAAUCAUAUUCCCUUCUUGGCUGCUGCGGAAGGUUUGUUGCCUUGGAUAUAAUAUAUGUUGUGGGAUUUUUAUGAAAUUUGAAGUCAUUAAAAUUCUACAUUUCAAGUCUACAAAUCUCCAAUUUUGGGUA